AGAGCAGUAACUGGGGAGAGAAAAGAAGACUCUUGAGUGGGCGGUGCCCACACUGCUGAUUGCUAGCAGGGUGUAGCAAGUACCUCGGCUCAGGCAAAGUCAAAUCUCACGACUACACACGUGUAACUCUUUCAUGUAAAGAGGGCUCUACCUGCUGUAAUUUGCUGCUUUUGUAACCCUGUGUGUGUGUGUGUGUGUGUGUGUGUGUGUGUGUGUGUGAUGUAAGGUUUUUGUGAGAGAUGCCUGUGAGUGGCAGAGUCUGCUGCAGGGGUGUUCUUAGCACUUCACACACAAGUGGGAAAGUUACCACAUCACCACAUCAACUUUUAGGGAAGUAAUAGUGGGAUCUCAAGUGCUGCCAGGACUCAGUUUAUGUUUAAACAGCCUGAGUCUGGGGAAGGUGUGUCUUGUUAAGACACUUGAAACCCUAAGGAAUUAAAUGCUGGGUUUCAUUUGCCUCUUUCCUUUGUAAUUGAUGAGAGGCAUCAGUAGUCUUUCUCCUUGUCCUCAAAUACAGCCAGCUCAUCUUCCGUAAGGCUAGCUGCCUCGUACAGUGGGGAGUAAUGGUUGCUGAGAACUGUACAGUGAGGAUCUGUACCAAGGAAAAUCUCAGAGUACUCUGAGAUGGGUUUUAAAUGUUUAAUCCUUAAGAGUAAGUUCUAGAUUUGAGAGAUUCUGGCCCCAAGUCCCUUAUUUGAUAUUACUUGACAUAUUAUGGUUAGUUUGAAAAUGGGAGAAGUAGAAGUUUGGGCUUCUCUUUACCCUGUGACUUAACUGUCUCUUCCCCGAGUUCUGAUACAAGAGUCUUAGGCGAACUUAACUUUUCAAACGCCGAGGGAGGGAGGAAGCAAAGUCCCAUCGCUGUUAAUUUGUAAACAGAUGGAGGAAAUAACAUGCAAAUGUGGGCCAUGCGGCAGACCCAAGGGCAGACCCGAGGGUUUUACGUGCCUGUCACUCAGCCUGUCAGCUCUUUCUGUUUCUGCUUUGUCAAGAGAAUUGAAGUUUGAAGCACAGCUUCAUGGUGGCAUUUAUAGGGAAAAAAACUUUGGUGUCAUAAUCUAGAUGGAAUUUCAACAUAUAGAAUAUAUGGAAUAUAGAGAUGAAAUUUCAAGAUAUAAUGAAAGGUCUUCGUUAUAACUGGCAAAAGGUCUUUUGAAUUACCUGAUUUUUUUUUUUUUUCCUGUACUGCUAAGACAACUGGUUAGGUCCUGCUCCUGAGCAAAUCUACAUUCACGUUUAGUGUACUGCAACAUGAUUUACAAAGAGGGUAUGUCAAACGAGAGCCCAUGUUUGUGGGAGGCUAACAAGUGAAUCAUUUCCCCAUAGUUCUCCCCCCACUCCCCCCCUCGAACCUGUUCCUAAAUACUGAAUUAAGCACAGACUGGGUACUCUGACUUCAGUGUGCUCAAUGCUGACUUAUGUGAGGAAUAAAACAACUCUGAAUGGGAUUCCAUUCCCCAGGGCACUUUGCAGUUCUUUCUGGCUAAGGGUACAAACUGGUGGUUUGGCUUGUUUGUUUUGUUUUGUUUCAUUUCCUUGAGACAAGGUCUCACUUAUAAGCUGGCUAUUUUAUAAUGUUGGGAGCACAUCCAUGUAUGGGGUCUAGCUAAGCAGGGAUUUGCACACCAGAGCCUUCUGGAUAUAUAUAUAUAUAUAUAUAUAUAUAAAUUCCACAAGAUAUAAAUGGAUUUUUUUCAUUUUAAAUUGUUGAAAUUAGCCUACUGAUAACAAUAGAUCAUGUGAAAAUGAUAUGAGAUUCUAAUUUUGAUGCCACCAUCAAAUUAUAUCACAUUUACUCACGUGUUGCGUACAGAUACUUGCAGCUACAGAGACAAAAUUGUACAACUGUACAUAUUAUGACAGAGAUCAUAUAGUCUGCAAAGCU
RNAcentral lists this long non-coding RNA (1885 nucleotides) under Mus musculus (house mouse). RNAcentral's name for it is "long non-coding RNA chr6:34478850-34480735". The record is from RNAcentral. Lineage: Eukaryota; Metazoa; Chordata; Mammalia; Rodentia; Muridae.